RNAcentral lists this small nuclear RNA (37 nucleotides) under Cervus elaphus hippelaphus. The record is from RNAcentral. Lineage: Eukaryota; Metazoa; Chordata; Mammalia; Artiodactyla; Cervidae.
UUGCUUCUCAGCCUUUUGGCCAAGAUCAAGUGUAGUA